CCUACGGGUGGCAGCAGUCGAGAAUCAUUCACAAUGGGGGCAACCCUGAUGGUGCGACGCCGCGUGGGGGAAUGAAGGUCUUCGGAUUGUAAACCCCUGUCAUGUGGGAGCAAAUCAAAAAGAUAGUACCACAAGAGGAAGAGACGGCUAACUCUGGGCCAGCAGCCGCGGUAAUACAGAGGUCUCAAGCGCUGUUCGGAAUCACUGGGCGUAAAGCGUGCGUAGGCUGUUUCGUAAGUCGUGUGUGAAAGGCGCGGGCUCAACCCGCGGACGGCACAUGAUACUGCGAGACUAGAGUAAGGGAGGGGGAACCGGAAUGCUCGGUGUAGCAGUGAAAUGCGUAGAUAUCGAGAGGAACACUCGUGGCGAAGGCGGGUUCCUGGACAUUAACUGACGCUGAGGCACGAAGGCCAGGGGAGCGAAAGGGAUUAGAUACCCGGGUAGUC
RNAcentral lists this ribosomal RNA (446 nucleotides) under uncultured bacterium. RNAcentral's name for it is "partial 16S ribosomal RNA". It matches the Rfam family "Bacterial small subunit ribosomal RNA", at positions 338 to 795 of the family's 1533-position model. The record is from RNAcentral.